This is a long non-coding RNA of Peromyscus maniculatus bairdii (prairie deer mouse), 963 nucleotides long. RefSeq lists it as uncharacterized. The record is from RefSeq and is a predicted model, not a curated record. NCBI's taxonomy places the organism in Eukaryota, Metazoa, Chordata, Mammalia, Rodentia, Cricetidae.
GCCAGCUGCCACCAUGACAAGACGCAUGUGAAGACACCGAAUGUCACACAGAGAAGCUAUCACACUUGGUGACAUUUUGUGUGGAGAUGCAAACAAACAUUACUCCCCUGACUCAAAGUGCCAGAAUAGAGUAAGGACGCCACCCAAGUCCAAAGUGGUAAACCUAUCCCUCUAUGAGUAAAGAUUUCUGGAUUCAGAAAGAAUGUGUGAAGCGUCUUCGAUUCAAAUGUCCAUCACGUCUUUACAUACAAAUGGUUGAGCAGAUCCCUUCUUCCUGGUGUCCUGCUUCAUUCUAAAGACAGCAUGAUUGGCUAAUGCGUCCUCCUUCAUCUAUAAAGCACCAUCAGUUUCCUUUGGAAAACGAAGCAUCAUUUGGUAGGAUUCUGCAGUGGAUGCCAUCAUUGCAAAUUGGGUGCAAGCCCAGCAAGAGCUGCAUGACAGGUUGACACAGGAGACGACAACGCUUCUGUGCCCACCAGACAGCCUGCCCAGGAGAAACACUGAUUCUUACUGAGUGAACACCUCCUAACUAAAUGAGAAAAGCAGUCUGAAGACCUGUGGUGACAAUGGUCGAUUGGAAGAGCAACAAGUAUGACAGUCGUACAACAAUGGGAAGGGCCGAGGAGAUAUAUGUUUAAUGAUAUAAAAAGGGCAGGCCUCCCAUGGGUGUCAACAAAGCAUGGCAUAUCCAGUUGAGGCAGAACCCAGCUCCUCCCCUGCAUCAAUGGCCUAAUCACAAAGAAUAACAGCAAAGAGAAAAGGCCGCUGAGACCAUUGAGAAUCUGACAACCAUGCUAGACAGGAGGAUGGAGAGUCUGCCAAUCAGGCUCAAGUGCUGAUGAUCAUGAUGUGUUUUGAAAUGAUUGAAGAAUCCAGGAACUAAAGACCAGCAAUUUGUUUCCCAAGUAAAGUCUCCAGAAAGAACCAUGUUCCUAAUUGUUUAAAAUCUACUUUCUUUUUUGA